Molecule: ribosomal RNA, 5323 nt
Filed under: Clostridioides difficile
Lineage: Bacteria; Bacillati; Bacillota; Clostridia; Peptostreptococcales; Peptostreptococcaceae
Description: 23S ribosomal RNA
Rfam family: Bacterial large subunit ribosomal RNA (bases 2953-5323)
Source: RNAcentral
UCAAGUUUAUAGAACUGGUUCAGGAUUUGGUAUAAGACUAGAUGGAGGAAAUGGAUUUACAGGGGCAAACAUAAGUCCUCAUUAUGAUAGUUUAUUGGUUAAGACAAUAUCUUGGGAUAGAACAUUCCAAGGAGCAAUAAAUAAAACUAUAAGAUCUAUAAAAGAACUUAGAGUUAGAGGUGUUAAAACUAAUGUAGGAUUCCUAGUUAAUGUUUUAAAUAAUCCUAUAUUCUCAAAUGGUAAAUGUAGUACUAAGUUUAUAGAUGAAAAUCCAGAUUUAUUUGAAAUAACAGAAAGUAAAGACAGAGGAACAAAAUUACUUCAAUUUAUAGGAGAUGUAAUUGUAAAUGAUAAUGCUUGUAAAGAAAAACCACUAUUUGAUGCAUUACAUGACCCAAGAAUGGAUAAGGAUGGUUCAAAAUCAGAAGGAAGUAAAAUACUUUUCGAUAAGUUAGGUAAAUCUGCAUAUAUAGAAAAGAUAAAAAAUGAUAAGAAAUUACUAUUAACAGAUACAACAAUGAGAGAUGCACAUCAAUCAUUAUUAGCAACAAGAAUAAGAACAUAUGACUUAUUAAAAGCUGCUAAGCCAACAGAAAAAUAUCAAAAGGAUUUAUUCUCACUUGAAAUGUGGGGAGGAGCUACUUAUGAUGUUGCAUAUAGAUUUUUAAAAGAAUCUCCUUGGCGUAGAUUACAAAAGCUAAGAGAAGAAAUACCAAGCAUAAUGUUCCAAAUGUUGCUUAGAGCAUCAAAUGGAGUUGGAUAUAAAAACUAUCCAGAUAAUGUAAUAGAAGAAUUUACAAAAGAAUCUGCUAGACAAGGUAUAGAUGUAUUUAGAAUAUUUGAUUCAUUAAACUGGGUUGAAAAUAUGAAACCAUCUAUUAAUACAGCUUUAGAAACUGGAAAAAUUGUUGAAGCAACUAUGUGUUAUACAGGUGAUAUACUAGAUAAGACUAAAACUAAAUACAAUCUAGAAUAUUAUAUUAAAAUGGCACAAGAAUUAGAAAGCUUGGGAGCAGAUAUAAUAGCAAUAAAAGAUAUGUCAGGUCUUCUUAAACCAUAUUCAGCUUACACACUAGUUAAAGAGUUAAAGAAAAAUGUAAAAGCACCAAUACAUUUACACACUCAUGAUACAAGUGGAAAUGGUGUAGCAACUUGUUUAAUGGCGUCAGAAGCUGGAGUAGACAUAAUUGAUGCUGCAUUAGAAUCUAUGGCAGGACUUACAAGUCAGCCAUCGCUUAAUGCUAUAGUAGAGGCACUUAAGAAUACAGAGAGAGAUACAGGAAUAGAUUUAUUUGGAUAUGAUGAGUUAGGAAAAUAUUAUAAGGAUUUAAGAAAAGUUUAUAAUAAAUUUGAAAGUGAUUUAACUAAUUCUUGUGCAGAAAUAUAUAAUUUUGAAAUACCAGGAGGCCAAUAUACAAACUUAAAACCUCAAGCUGAUAGUUUAGGAUUAGUUAAUAGAUUUGAUGAAGUUAAAGAAAAAUAUAAAGAAGCUAAUGAAGUUGUAGGAGAUAUAAUAAAAGUAACUCCAUCUUCAAAAGUUGUAGGAGACUUAGCUAUCUUUAUGACUAAAAAUAAAUUAGAUAAAGACAAUAUAAUAGAAGAAGGUAAAAAUUUAUCAUUCCCAGAUUCUGUUGUGGAUUACUGUAAAGGUAUGAUUGGUCAACCAGAAGGUGGAAUACCAAAAGAUUUACAAGAGGUAGUUCUAAAAGGUGAAGAAGCUAUAACAGUAAGACCAGGUUCAUUAUUACCAGCAGAAGAUUUUGAUGAAAUAGCUAAAUAUCUAAAUGAAAAGUAUGAUAUAAAUGCUAAUAUAAGAAAUGUUAUAAGUUAUGCUUUAUAUCCAAAAGUAUAUGAAGAUUAUAUCAAACAUCUACAACAUUAUAAUGAUAUAUCUAAACUUGAAAGUGAUGUAUUCUUCUAUGGAUUAAAUAAAAAUGAAGAAUGUGAAGUAGAAAUAGAAGAAGGUAAGGUAUUAACAAUAAGAUUAGUUGAAAUUGGUGAAGUUAAGGAAAAUGGAUUUAGAACUAUAGGAUUUGAGUUAAAUGGAAUGGUUAGAGAAGUAGAAAUAAAAGAUAAGAAUUUCUCUGGAAAAAUUAAUAAUGUUGAAAAAGCUGAUAUGAAUGACCCUCUUCAAAUUGGAGCAAGCAUACCAGGAAAAGUUAUAAAAAUAAUGGUUAAAGAAGAAGAUGAAGUAAAAGCAAAUCAACCAUUAAUCGUUAUAGAGGCUAUGAAGAUGGAAACUAUAAUAGUUGCUAAGACUGAUGGAGUAAUUAAGUCAAUCAAAGUAAAAGAAGAUGAUAUGGUUGAAGAUAAACAAUUAUUAAUGAUAAUGAAGUAAUUUAAUUAAAAUAAAUUAAAAAGCACUCUGAAAUGUUUAAUAAAAAAUGUUUUAGAGUGUUUUUAUUUAUUUUAAUUAAAUAUUUGUUAAAAAAAAGAGGACAAUUACCUCCAGAUGUAGAAAUAAAGCUAGUAAGGAAAAUGUUAUCUAAAAAUUCUAAAUAUAGUAAAUAUUUUCCAUAAUAUUUCUUAGGAAAUAACAGCAAAGAUAAAAUACAUAAAUUUAAAAGGUGGGUGCUUAUAUGAAGGUUUAUGAUAGUAAAAUGUUGAGAAAUGUAGCAGUAUUAGGACAUAGCGGAUGUGGAAAAACAAAUCUAAUCGAAACUAUAGCUUACACAGCAAACACUAAUAAGAUACCUAAAUUAACAGACAAGGUAAAUAUGACUUAUAGCAUGGGAUUAAUACCUAUAGAGUAUAAUGAUUAUAAGUUUAACUUAUUGGAUACCCCAGGAUAUUUUGACUUUAGCGGAGACGUUGUGUCAUCUCUUAGAGCAAGUGAUGCAGCAAUAAUAGUAAUAGAUGCAACAGCGCCUAUUCAAGUUGGUACAGAGAAAUCAUUAGAACUAACUGAGAGUAUUCCUAAGAUAAUGUUUAUAAAUAAAAUAGAUAAUGAAAAGGCAAGAUACAAAGAUNUGAAACCCUGCACUUACAAGCUGUGGAAGCACAUUUCUUGUGUGACCGCGUACUUUUUGUAGAACGGGCCAACGAGUUACGUUAAGUAGCAAGGUUAAGCACUUAAGGUGCGGAGCCGUAGCGAAAGCGAGUUUUAACUGAGCGUUCAGUUACUUGACGUAGACCCGAAACCGGGCGACCUACCCAUGAGCAGGAUGAAGCGAAAGUAAAAUUUCGUGGAGGUCCGAACCCACGAGCGUUGAAAAGCUCGGGGAUGACUUGUGGGUAGCGGUGAAAUUCCAAUCGAGCCCGGAGAUAGCUGGUUCUCCCCGAAAUAGCUUUAGGGCUAGCCUCAAGGUGAGAGAUACGGAGGUAGAGCACUGAAUGUCCUAGGGGGUAUUGCACCUACCGAAGACUAUCAAACUCCGAAUGCCGUCAUCUUAUACUUGGGAGUCAGACUGUGGGUGAUAAGAUUCAUAGUCGAAAGGGCAACAGCCCAGAUCGUCAGCUAAGGUCCCUAAAUGUAAGUUAAGUGGUAAAGGAUGUGGGAUUGCACAGACAACCAGGAUGUUGGCUUAGAAGCAGCCACUCAUUCAAAGAGUGCGUAAUAGCUCACUGGUCGAGUGAUCCUGCGCCGAAGAUUUCCGGGGCUAAAACUUACUACCGAAGCUACGGCAUCAGUAAUGAUGGGUAGGGGAGCUUCCCAUACGGGUUGAAGCAUGACCGUAAGGACAUGUGGACAGUAUGGGAGUGAGAAUGUUGGCAUGAGUAGCGAGAUGUGGGUGAGAAUCCCACAGGCCGUAAACCCAAGGUUUCCAGGGGAAGGUUCGUCCGCCCUGGGUUAGUCGGGACCUAAGCUGAGGCCGAAAGGCGUAGGUGAUGGACAACAGGUUGAUAUUCCUGUACUACCGAUAACCGUUUGAGAGAAGGGAUGACACAGUAGGAUAAGCUAAGCACACUGUUGGUUAUGUGUGCCCAAGCAUUGAGGCAGUCAAAGUAGGCAAAUCCGCUUUGAUAAUGCUGGGAUGUGAUGGGGAGCGAAAUUUAGUAGCGAAGUAGCUGAUUUCACACUGUCAAGAAAAGUCUCUAUCGAGGUUAAAGGUACCCGUACCGCAAACCGACACAGGUGGGUGAGGAGAGUAUCCUAAGGCCAGCGAGAGAACUGUUGUUAAGGAACUCGGCAAAAUGACCCCGUAACUUAGGGAUAAGGGGUGCCACCAUCAGGUGGCCGCAGAGAAUAGGCCCAAGCGACUGUUUACCAAAAACAUAGGUUUCUGCUAAGUCGCAAGACGAUGUAUAGGAGCUGACGCCUGCCCGGUGCUGGAAGGUUAAGGGGAUCUGUUAGAGCAAUCGAAGCAGUGAACUUAAGCCCCAGUAAACGGCGGCCGUAACUAUAACGGUCCUAAGGUAGCGAAAUUCCUUGUCGGGUAAGUUCCGACCCGCACGAAAGGCGUAACGAUUUGGGCACUGUCUCAACAACAGACUCGGUGAAAUUGUAAUUCCGGUGAAGAUGCCGGAUACCUGCGACAGGACGGAAAGACCCCAUGGAGCUUUACUGUAGCUUGACAUUGGGUCUUGGUACUACAUGUACAGGAUAGGUGGGAGGCUUUGAAACCAGGACGCCAGUUUUGGCGGAGCCAUCCUUGGGAUACCACCCUUGUAGUACUGGGACUCUAACCAUAGGCCAUGAAUCUGGUCUUGGGACACUGUCAGGUGGGCAGUUUGACUGGGGCGGUCGCCUCCCAAAAGGUAACGGAGGCGCUCAAAGGUUCUCUCAGUACGGUCGGAAAUCGUACGUAGAGUGUAAAGGCAAAAGAGAGCUUGAUUGCAAGACAUACAGGUCGAGCAAGGAUGAAAAUCGGACUUAGUGAUCCGGUGGUUCUGCGUGGAAGGGCCAUCGCUCAACGGAUAAAAGCUACCCUGGGGAUAACAGGCUUAUCUCCCCCAAGAGUCCACAUCGACGGGGAGGUUUGGCACCUCGAUGUCGGCUCAUCACAUCCUGGGGCUGUAGUAGGUCCCAAGGGUUGGGCUGUUCGCCCAUUAAAGUGGUACGCGAGCUGGGUUCAGAACGUCGUGAGACAGUUCGGUCCCUAUCCGUCGCAGGCGUAGGAAAUUUGAGAAGACCUGUCCUUAGUACGAGAGGACCGGGAUGGACGUACCUCUGGUGUACCAGUUGUCCUGCCAAGGGCAUGGCUGGGUAGCUAUGUACGGAAUGGAUAAGCGCUGAAAGCAUCUAAGCGCGAAGCCAACUUCAAGAUAAGAUUUCCCACCGCAAGGGUAAGACCCCAGAAAGACUAUCUGGUUGAUAGGUCGAAGGUGUAAGUGCAGCAAUGUAUUUAGCUUAUCGAUACUAAUAGGUCGAGGACUUGACCAA